UACGAAGGGGGCUAGCGUUGCUCGGAAUCACUGGGCGUAAAGCGCACGUAGGCGGAUCUUUAAGUCAGGGGUGAAAUCCCAAGGCUCAACCUUGGAACUGCCUUUGAUACUGGGGAUCUCGAGUCCGGAAGAGGUUGGUGGAACUGCGAGUGUAGAGGUGAAAUUCGUAGAUAUUCGCAAGAACACCAGUGGCGAAGGCGGCCAACUGGUCCGGUACUGACGCUGAGGUGCGAAAGCGUGGGGAGCAAACAGGAUUAAAAU
This 261-nucleotide ribosomal RNA is filed under the name uncultured bacterium. RNAcentral's name for it is "partial 16S ribosomal RNA". It matches the Rfam family "Bacterial small subunit ribosomal RNA", at positions 524 to 784 of the family's 1533-position model. The record is from RNAcentral.